RNAcentral lists this ribosomal RNA (484 nucleotides) under uncultured bacterium. RNAcentral describes it as "partial 16S ribosomal RNA". It matches the Rfam family "Bacterial small subunit ribosomal RNA", at positions 28 to 507 of the family's 1533-position model. The record is from RNAcentral.
AUCGAACGCUGGCGGCAUGCUUAACACAUGCAAGUCGAACGGCCGUUUCGGGUUCGGCGUCGCGGCGAUUGGUAACGGGGUGAGUCAUGCAUCCGCGUUUGGACCGUAGCGGGGAAACUCGCGCCGAUAGCGGAAACGAUAUCUCAUACGAACUGAGGGUGACAGCGGGGGGCCGAACGGCUUCUCGCUUUUUGUGCGACCGAUGUCGGAUUAGCUAGUUGGUGGGGUAAAGGCUUACCAAGGCGACGAUCCCUAGCUGGUCUGAGAGGACGACCCGCCACACUGGGACUGAGACACGGCCCAGACUCCGACGGGAGGCAGCAGUGGGGAAUCUUGGGCAAUGGGGGAAAGCCUGAUCCAGCCAUGCCGCGUGCGGGAAGAAGGACUUCGGGUGGGAAAGCGCUGUUGUUCGGGAAGAAAUCCUCUGGGCUAAUACGCCAGGGGAAUGACGGUACCGGAAGAAUAAGCACCGGCUAACUACGUG